UGGAAUGUAUCUCUAUGGCAGAGUAUUUGCCUCAAAUGAGCAAAGCUGUGGGUUUGAUCUCCCAUCAUUGCAA
RNAcentral lists this transfer RNA (73 nucleotides) under Neotoma lepida (desert woodrat). It matches the Rfam family "tRNA". Rfam says of the family: Transfer RNA (tRNA) molecules are approximately 80 nucleotides in length. Their secondary structure includes four short double-helical elements and three loops (D, anti-codon, and T loops). The record is from Rfam by way of RNAcentral. Lineage: Eukaryota; Metazoa; Chordata; Mammalia; Rodentia; Cricetidae.